RNAcentral lists this long non-coding RNA (1296 nucleotides) under Cyanistes caeruleus (blue tit). RNAcentral describes it as "lncRNA (ENSCCEG00000009004.1)". Lineage: Eukaryota; Metazoa; Chordata; Aves; Passeriformes; Paridae. The record is from RNAcentral.
GUGCCCGCGGUGCGUGCCGGAGGGAAUGGGUUGAACAGCGGCUUGUUUCCUUUAUUCUGGGCCCCUCAUCUCUCCCCUGCUGUGGCGAGAAGGGGAAAGGCUUUCUGGCCAUAGGCUGGAGAUAAGAGCCCGAGUGAAAGAGGAAGGCGAAGCCUCUGUCCUGCAGCGAUAGGCGACUGACACGUGUCAAGUUGGAGCGAUACUGUGCAGGGGAAGGAGCUCGAGUGAUGGCAUGAAAUGUUGGGAAACAGCUGCUGGUAGAAUAGUAUCAGCAGAAACUUUGUUUCCUGAGCAGGUACACUUACGCGGUUUGCCAACUUUUCUGACAGUUUUGCAGUUCUGAUAAAUUUCUCAAAUCCUUCCCGUUGUUUCUCGUCAGACGUCGGUGUUUGUUGCGUUUUACCUGUUCCGUCCCGUGUUCUUCCAGGAAGCUUUGUCAGGCAAGGGCUUCGUUUUCGUGGAGCUUAGCAAAAUGAGAUGCUGAUCCUUAAAUGGUAUUCUUGAGUAGAUCUGAGAAGCAAAUAACAGCGCUGAAUAUUAGAAGCAAUGUUUUGUGCAGGCAGAUGUGCAUGUAAACACAGGAUAUAUGUAGGAAAAAGCAGAAAGUUCUUCAGAUUAGGAGCAGCAAAGGAAAAUGUUUCCAUAAAAUUCAUACUUGAAGAAAUGAAGGGUAAGUCCAUCCACUACUUCUGUGACUUUCCAUAGGAGACAAAUACUGCAACUGUUGGGUAAUAUAUAAAAGUGUAGUGUCUUGUGUUCUCAUAUGCCCUUUUUUAGCUUUUAUGGUUGUUUUUUUUUGAAGGAAAACCAAAGGAGCGUGCUGAUGAGGAAGGUGGGCAGAAGUUACAGGCAAAGGAAGCUGUAUAAAGAUGAGGCUGUUUCAGAUCUGAAUGUAAAGGUUAUACUGUAAUGAAUGUAGAGAUAGUUUGUGAAUGUGGAGAGCUUCAUUGACAUUUAAUUCUUUCAGUUAUUUCAGUGUGGUUGCAAAACCCUUUGCAAGUUCAACAGCUUUGGGUCAGAGGAGGAAAGAAAAUAGGAUCAGCUGAAAUGAAAGCCUUUAACAAUAAGGGAGUGAAAUACUCACAAUGUCCAAUGGUUAAGAGAUAACUAUAGAUAUUUAAACUACUCUUUGUUACCCCUGAAGGAAACUGUGGUAGUUCUUGUGUGAUCUGCAGGUAUGACCAGGACAUAUUUGCACUCUUUUGUUACUGGCAGCUGCUUUGUUUGACUUUUCUUAAGGGAAGUAUUUAAUCUUGAAUCACCUUAAUUUACCGUAUUUAAAAGGCGUAAGGAGAU